CCUACGGGAGGCAGCAGUAGGGAAUAUUGGACAAUGGGCGCAAGCCUGAUCCAGCCAUGCCGCGUGAGUGAAGAAGGCCCUCGGGUUGUAAAGCUCUUUUGUCCGGAAAGAAAAGCGCCGGGUUAAUACCCUAGUGUCCUGACGGUACCGGAAGAAUAAGCACCGGCUAACUUCGUGCCAGCAGCCGCGGUAA
This 193-nucleotide ribosomal RNA is filed under the name uncultured bacterium. RNAcentral describes it as "partial 16S ribosomal RNA". It matches the Rfam family "Bacterial small subunit ribosomal RNA", at positions 338 to 523 of the family's 1533-position model. The record is from RNAcentral.